RNAcentral lists this unclassified non-coding RNA (315 nucleotides) under plant metagenome. Its description in RNAcentral is "partial contains 5.8S ribosomal RNA, internal transcribed spacer 2, and large subunit ribosomal RNA". The stretch from base 1 to 105 matches the Rfam family "5.8S ribosomal RNA", at positions 50 to 154 of the family's 154-position model. The record is from RNAcentral.
CCCCUUCGCUCCGUAAUGUGAAUUGCAGAAUUCAGUGAAUCAUCGAAUCUUUGAACGCACAUUGCGCCCGCCAGUAUUCUGGCGGGCAUGCCUGUUCGAGCGUCAUUUCAACCCUCAAGCCCCCGGGUUUGGUGUUGGGGAUCGGGCUGCGGUUCUACCGCGUCCCGGCCCCGAAAUCUAGUGGCGGUCUCGCUGCAGCCUCCAUUGCGUAGUAGCUAACACCUCGCAACUGGAACGCGGCGCGGCCAAGCCGUUAAACCCCCAACUUCUGAAUGUUGACCUCGGAUCAGGUAGGAAUACCCGCUGAACUUAAGC